AUUGAACGCUGGCGGCAUGCUUUACACAUGCAAGUCGAACGGCAGCGCGGGCUUCGGCCUGGCGGCGAGUGGCGAACGGGUGAGUAAUGCAUCGGAACGUGCCCAGUAGUGGGGGAUAGCCCGGCGAAAGCCGGAUUAAUACCGCAUACGACCUGAGGGUGAAAGCGGGGGACCGAAAGGCCUCGCGCUAUUGGAGCGGCCGAUGUCGGAUUAGCUAGUUGGUGGGGUAAAGGCUUACCAAGGCGACGAUCCGUAGCUGGUCUGAGAGGACGACCAGCCACACUGGGACUGAGACACGGCCCAGACUCCUACGGGAGGCAGCAGUGGGGAAUUUUGGACAAUGGGGGCAACCCUGAUCCAGCCAUGCCGCGUGCGGGAAGAAGGCCUUCGGGUUGUAAACCGCUUUUGUUCGGGAAGAAAUCCUCUGGGCUAAUACCCCGGGGGGAUGACGGUACCGGAAGAAUAAGCAACGGCUAACUACGUG
This 484-nucleotide ribosomal RNA is filed under the name uncultured bacterium. RNAcentral's name for it is "partial 16S ribosomal RNA". It matches the Rfam family "Bacterial small subunit ribosomal RNA", at positions 29 to 507 of the family's 1533-position model. The record is from RNAcentral.